AACCUUCACAAUGUGCGAAAGCACGAUGAGGGAAUCCCAAGUGCCAGCUCGUAAGAGUUGGCUGUUUCUUUGUCUAAAACACAGAGAGAGUAAGGGCUGGGUAAGACGGGUGCCAGCCGCCGCGGUAAUACCUGCAGCUCAAGUGGUGGCCACUAUUAUUGGGCCUAAAACGUCCGUAGCCGGCUUAGUAAAUGCCUGGGUAAAUCGUGUAGCUUAACUAUACGAAUUCCGGGUAGACUGCUAAGCUUGAGACCGGGAGAGGCUAGAGGUACUCCUAGGGUAGAGGUGAAAUUCUGUAAUCCUAGGGGGACCACCAGUGGCGAAGGCGUCUAGCUAGAACGGGUCUGACGGUGAGGGACGAAGCCCUGGGGCGCAAACCGGAUUAGAUACCCGGGUAGUCCAGGGUGUAAACGCUGCUUGCUUGAUGUUAGUUGGGCUCCGAGCCCGAUUAGUGUCGGAGAGAAGUUGUUAAGCAAGCUGCCUGGAAGUACGUCGCAAGACU
RNAcentral lists this ribosomal RNA (502 nucleotides) under uncultured archaeon. RNAcentral describes it as "bacterial SSU rRNA". It matches the Rfam family "Archaeal small subunit ribosomal RNA", at positions 345 to 850 of the family's 1478-position model. The record is from RNAcentral.